Molecule: long non-coding RNA, 306 nt
Filed under: Oryza brachyantha (malo sina)
Lineage: Eukaryota; Viridiplantae; Streptophyta; Magnoliopsida; Poales; Poaceae
Description: long non-coding RNA (OBRA_LNC002697)
Source: RNAcentral
UGUAGCUACCAGCUACCACGUAGCUAGCUAGCUAAGUUAGCAUGGUUUAAUACUCCUACGUGCUAACCAUGGCUAAUUUAGUUGGAUGCUGGCUAGGUAGACAAAAGCCUCAAGCCUUUUUAUCCAGGAUUCUAACAAAUAUAUCUCCAAAGAUCGCCCAGUAAUCUCCCGGUGAUGACCGGACGAACGGUCGGUGCCCUAGAUGCCGGAUCAAUCAAGAUAUGCGCUUUCACAUCACAUCGCAUCUGAGCUAGGGCUAAACUAAGUUGUCUUGCCUACAAUGAUUUGCUGCUCGCCGUGCAGCCG